UAAUACGUAGGGGGCAAGCGUUGUCCGGAAUUAUUGGGCGUAAAGCGCGCGCAGGCGGUCAUUUAAGUUUGGUGUUUAAGCCCGGGGCUCAACCCCGGAUCGCACUGAAAACUGGGUGACUUGAGUGCGGGAGAGGAAAGUGGAAUUCCACGUGUAGCGGUGAAAUGCGUAGAGAUGUGGAGGAACACCAGUGGCGAAGGCGACUUUCUGGACCGUAACUGACGCUGAGGCGCGAAAGCGUGGGGAGCAAACAGGAUUAGAUACCCUGGUAGUCCACGCCGUAAACGAUGAGUGCUAGGUGUCAGGGGUUUCGAUACCUCUGGUGCCGAAGUUAACACAGUAAGCACUCCGCCUGGGGAGUACGCUCGCAAGAGUG
RNAcentral lists this ribosomal RNA (376 nucleotides) under uncultured bacterium. RNAcentral's name for it is "bacterial SSU rRNA". It matches the Rfam family "Bacterial small subunit ribosomal RNA", at positions 521 to 896 of the family's 1533-position model. The record is from RNAcentral.